This 253-nucleotide ribosomal RNA is filed under the name uncultured bacterium. Its description in RNAcentral is "partial 16S ribosomal RNA". It matches the Rfam family "Bacterial small subunit ribosomal RNA", at positions 524 to 776 of the family's 1533-position model. The record is from RNAcentral.
UACGAAGGGUGCAAACGUUGCUCGGAAUUAUUGGGCGUAAAGCGCACGUAGGCGGCUUGGCAAGUCGGAUGUGAAAUCCCUCGGCUCAACCAAGGAAGUGCAUCCGAAACUGCUGAGCUUGAGUACGAAAGAGGAUCGCGGAAUUCCCGGUGUAGAGGUGAAAUUCGCAGAUAUCAGGAAGAACACCAAUGGCGAAGGCAGCUCUCUGGGACGGUACUGACGCUGAGACGCGAAAGCGUGGGGAGCGAACAGG